UACAGGGGGGGCAAGCGUUGUUCGGAAUUACUGGGCGUAAAGGGUUUGUAGGUGGCUUGUUAAGUCAGACGUGAAAUCCCUCAGCUUAACUGGGGAACUGCGUCUGAUACUGGCGAGCUUGAGUGCAGGAGAGGAACGCGGAAUUCCAGGUGUAGCGGUGAAAUGCGUAGAUAUCUGGAGGAACACCGGUGGCGAAGGCGGCAUCCUGGACCGACACUGACGCUGAGGAGCGAAAGCCAGGGGAGCAAACGGG
This 253-nucleotide ribosomal RNA is filed under the name uncultured bacterium. Its description in RNAcentral is "partial 16S ribosomal RNA". It matches the Rfam family "Bacterial small subunit ribosomal RNA", at positions 524 to 776 of the family's 1533-position model. The record is from RNAcentral.